GGAAAGUGAAGAACUAGUGAAAGCUGCUAACUUAUCACUAUAGCGGUUUAAUUCCGUUUACAUUCCU
RNAcentral lists this transfer RNA (67 nucleotides) under Anacanthotermes sp. RNAcentral's name for it is "tRNA-Ser". The record is from RNAcentral. Lineage: Eukaryota; Metazoa; Arthropoda; Insecta; Blattodea; Hodotermitidae.